Molecule: ribosomal RNA, 279 nt
Filed under: uncultured bacterium
Lineage: Bacteria
Description: partial 16S ribosomal RNA
Rfam family: Bacterial small subunit ribosomal RNA
Source: RNAcentral
UGCCAGCCGCCGCGGUAAUACGGGGGGGGCAAGCGUUGUUCGGAAUUACUGGGCGUAAAGGGCUCGUAGGCGGCCAACUAAGUCGGAUGUGAAAUCCCCAGGCUCAACUUGGGAACUGCGUCCGAUACUGGAUGGCUUGAGUUUGGGAGAGGGAUGCGGAAUUCCAGGUGUAGCGGUGAAAUGCGUAGAUAUCUGGAGGAACACCGGUGGCGAAGGCGGCAUCCUGGACCAAUACUGACGCUGAGGAGCGAAAGCCAGGGGAGCAAACGGGAUUAGAUA